GGUGGUUCAACUGAUUUGAAGAGCUUGCUCAGAUAUGACGAUGGACAUUGCAAAGAGUGGCGAACGGGUGAGUAACACGUGGGAAACCUACCUCUUAGCAGGGGAUAACAUUUGGAAACAGAUGCUAAUACCGUAUAACAAUGACAACCGCAUGGUUGUUAUUUAAAAGAUGGUUCUGCUAUCACUAAGAGAUGGUCCCGCGGUGCAUUAGCUAGUUGGUAAGGUAAUGGCUUACCAAGGCGAUGAUGCAUAGCCGAGUUGAGAGACUGAUCGGCCACAAUGGGACUGAGACACGGCCCAUACUCCUACGGGAGGCAGCAGUAGGGAAUCUUCCACAAUGGGCGAAAGCCUGAUGGAGCAACGCCGCGUGUGUGAUGAAGGGUUUCGGCUCGUAAAACACUGUUGUAAGAGAAGAAUGACAUUGAGAGUAACUGUUCAAUGUGUGACGGUAUCUUACCAGAAAGGAACGGCUAAAUACGUGCCAGCAGCCGCGGUAAUACGUAUGUUCCAAGCGUUAUCCGGAUUUAUUGGGCGUAAAGCGAGCGCAGACGGUUAUUUAAGUCUGAAGUGAAAGCCCUCAGCUCAACUGAGGAAUUGCUUUGGAAACUGGAUGACUUGAGUGCAGUAGAGGAAAGUGGAACUCCAUGUGUAGCGGUGAAAUGCGUAGAUAUAUGGAAGAACACCAGUGGCGAAGGCGGCUUUCUGGACUGUAACUGACGUUGAGGCUCGAAAGUGUGGGUAGCAAACAGGAUUAGAUACCCUGGUAGUCCACACCGUAAACGAUGAGUGCUAGGUGUUUGAGGGUUUCCGCCCUUAAGUGCCGCAGCUAACGCAUUAAGCACUCCGCCUGGGGAGUACGACCGCAAGGUUGAAACUCAAAGGAAUUGACGGGGACCCGCACAAGCGGUGGAGCAUGUGGUUUAAUUCGAAGCAACGCGAAGAACCUUACCAGGUCUUGACAUCCCUUGACAACUCCAGAGAUGGAGCGUUCCCUUCGGGGACAAGGUGACAGGUGGUGCAUGGUUGUCGUCACUCGUGUCGUGAGAUGUUGGGUUAAGUCCCGCAACGAGCGCAACCCUUAUUACUAGUUGCCAGCAUUCAGUUGGGCACUCUAGUGAGACUGCCGGUGACAAACCGGAGGAAGGUGGGGAUGACGUCAAAUCAUCAUGCCCCUUAUGACCUGGGCUACACACGUGCUACAAUGGCGUAUACAACGAGUUGCCAACCCGCGAGGGUGAGCUAAUCUCUUAAAGUACGUCUCAGUUCGGAUUGUAGGCUGCAACUCGCCUACAUGAAGUCGGAAUCGCUAGUAAUCGCGGAUCAGCACGCCGCGGUGAAUACGUUCCCGGGUCUUGUACACACCGCCCGUCACACCAUGAGAGUUUGUAACACCCAAAGCCGGUGGGGUAACCUUCGGGAGCCAGCCGUCUAAGGUGGGACAGAUGAUU
This 1448-nucleotide ribosomal RNA is filed under the name Weissella confusa. RNAcentral describes it as "bacterial SSU rRNA". It matches the Rfam family "Bacterial small subunit ribosomal RNA". The record is from RNAcentral. Lineage: Bacteria; Bacillati; Bacillota; Bacilli; Lactobacillales; Lactobacillaceae.